This 1422-nucleotide long non-coding RNA is filed under the name Melopsittacus undulatus (budgerigar). RNAcentral's name for it is "lncRNA (ENSMUNG00000021328.1)". Lineage: Eukaryota; Metazoa; Chordata; Aves; Psittaciformes; Psittaculidae. The record is from RNAcentral.
GGCAGAGAAGUGACAGUUCCGGGGGCCGGCGGGAGCUGCCGAGCCCGGAGGGGACGCCCCUUCCGGUCGCGCAUGCGCCCGGCCCUUGCCGGGGCUUUCCCGGUGCGGCAUUUCCCGGUCUGGGAGGUGCCGGCGGGGGCCCGUGUUUCCCUCCCCGCGCCCCUUGCUCAGCGCUCUAUAUAGGCUGGGGAGCGCAGCAGGGCCGCCUGCUGUGGGAGGCUCGGCUGCAGACCGUUUUGUUCUGCCCGAAAAUUCAAUGAUUGAAACUAUAGAUACUUAUAGUUUCUUCUUGUGAACACUCAGCAUAAACAUGGAGGCGUAGGCACCUUAAAGGGACAUCAGUCUGAACUCUGGGAGGUAGUUCUGUGCACUAAUAAAGAAACUAAGGCUUCAAAUUUUAUUUCUUUUUUGAUCUGAGGAUUCUGUUUGCUUCUGUAUGCCAUAAGCAUGGCAUACAGAAACAACUUAAUUCAGUGGCAUAAAGCAUUAGAAUGUCCUCACACAAAGCAAUUAAUUUAUCUUAAAUUUGAUAACUCUAUACUUGUAGCUAAGGCACCGGGUUAAAACUGAAAUGCUUUGCUUUCUGUGCUGACAGUGUUAUAAACAGAAAAGCCUGGGGUUAUUCCAGGCUUGUUAAUGGAGAGCUCAUGCAUCAGAGGCAGUGUAGAAGGUGUAUCUCACAGCUGAGUAGUCAAGAUAUGUGAAGCUGAGUAUAAACUAACUUCUUUAGUCUCAGCAACUAUUACAACAGUACAUGGAAGUUGAGGGUUGGGUUCUUUUUUGGUGGUUUGUUUUUUGUUGUUUUUUUUUCCUUUGAAGUCUAGUAGUAGCAAAUACUCCAGAUCAGUUCAGGGGCUCUUUUUUAUCUGCCAUUAGAGCUUGGUAAACCAUUAUUUUCAGCCUCCUAAUGAGGUAUGCAAACUAAAAUCUUUACAUGUCUAAGCUGUCUACGGUGAAACAGUUCUUAAAUCACUUAACACAUGUUUUAGUUAAAAAUGGUAUAGUUUUAGUUGCCCCCCAUUUUAGUUUCUUUAUUGACAAGGAUUUUGGUAAACCCAUUUGAGGUUUUCCCUGUCUGGAUCCCACCUCCACUAGCCUGACAAAUUGAUACUGCUUUCCCAGAUAUACAGUACAAGGAAAGCAUGUUAUGACUAGAAGUUACAAGGGAGAGUCCUUUUUGACAUGCUUUCUUCAAUUCCUAAAAUGGGAUAGGGCAGCUUUUGCACAGGUAGCAGUUGUAUAAACUAAAAUACAAAAACUUCCCAGAUGUUUAAAGGCUGUUAAUCAUGGGACUUACUCUGUUCACAUAUGCAUUCAAUGUUGCACAUUAUUUAAUUUUCAAGCAUUCUUUUGUACAGACAGGAGUUAUUCCAAAUUGCCUUUAGUGCACAUAACUACCUCCCAGAGGAAGACUUGUCCUAU